This 640-nucleotide ribosomal RNA is filed under the name uncultured archaeon. RNAcentral describes it as "bacterial SSU rRNA". It matches the Rfam family "Archaeal small subunit ribosomal RNA", at positions 174 to 817 of the family's 1478-position model. The record is from RNAcentral.
AUCGAGUUGUGGUUUAAACGUAAGGCUCUUGGAUGGGUCUGCGGCGGAUUAGGUUGUUGCCGGUGUAACGUACCAGCAAGCCUGUAAUCCGUACGGGUUGUGGGAGCAAGAGCCCGGAGAUGGAUUCUGAGACACGAAUCCAGGCCCUACGGGGCGCAGCAGGCGCGAAAACUCUACAAUGCAGGCAACUGCGAUAGGGGAACAUCGAGUGGCACCCACCAUGGGUGUCUGUCCAAUCGUCUAAAAAACGAUUGUCAGCAAGGGCCGGGCAAGACCGGUGCCAGCCGCCGCGGUAAUACCGGCGGCUCGAGUGGUGGCCGAUAUUAUUGAGUCUAAAGGGUCCGUAGCCGGCUUUGCAAGUCCCCUGGGAAAUCCAGCGGCUUAACCGUUGGGCUUUCAUGGGAAACUACAUUGCUUGGGACUGGGAGAGGUAGGAGGUACUCAGGGGGUAGGGGUGAAAUCCUGUAAUCCUUUGGGGACCACCGGUGGCGAAGGCGUCCUACCAGAACAGGUCCGACGGUGAGGGACGAAAGCUAGGGGCACGAACCGGAUUAGAUACCCGGGUAGUCCUAGCCGUAAACGAUGCUCGCUAGGUGUCACGGCAGUCGUGAAUUGUCGUGGUGCCGUAGGGAAGCCGUGA